GCAAACUCGUACGGCACGUAACAGAAAAAAACAUUUCUCUAGUCGUUUGUAAGUUUGGUACCUAGCGAGACCCAUAAACAUCCACUCAGAGGAAAGUGCAGGUGCUAAACAGAACUUUUAUUAAUCAGAGAACACAAAUAAUCCAAAAUCGGAAUAUACCAUUCGGGGCUGGUGCAGAUCGAUGACAACCAGUCUGUAAAAUGACACUGAUAUCGUUAAAAGAAAUAUUAAAAGUGACACUACAGGAUUCUAUAAAAAAAGACGGAUGUUGGACACCCCAGUCUGCUGGAUCAACAGCCAGACUACUUUCAGGCCCUGAGCUCCAUGCAUUAAAUGCCUUCCCUGGAAGGAGGUUUCUUUCAGCUCCAAGGAUGAAAUCAUUGGAAUGACCCUACUGAGACCUUCCAACCAUCUAAUGGUGGGACCAGCCUCAGACCAUUCUGCACCUCACCCUUCCUGACAGCUCGCAGAAAACCUCAUGCCCCCAUCUCCACACCAACUGAAAGGCUAUUCUGAACACCUGUCU
Molecule: long non-coding RNA, 526 nt
Organism: Paramormyrops kingsleyae
Lineage: Eukaryota; Metazoa; Chordata; Actinopteri; Osteoglossiformes; Mormyridae
Source: RefSeq, a predicted model, not a curated record